Molecule: ribosomal RNA, 946 nt
Filed under: uncultured bacterium
Lineage: Bacteria
Description: bacterial SSU rRNA
Rfam family: Bacterial small subunit ribosomal RNA
Source: RNAcentral
CAGGGACCUUAUCCGCGUACUGGGCGUAAGCGUGCGCAGGCGGUUUUGUAAGUCUGUCGUGAAAGCCCCGGGCUCAGCCUGGGAAUUGCGAUGGAGACUGCAAGGCUUGAAUCUGGCAGAGGGGGGUAGAAUUCCACGUGUAGCAGUGAAAUGCGUAGAGAUGUGGAGGAACACCGAUGGCGAAGGCAGCCCCCUGGGUCAAGAUUGACGCUCAUGCACGAAAGCGUGGGGAGCAAACAGGAUUAGAUACCCUGGUAGUCCACGCCCUAAACGAUGUCUACUAGUUGUCGGGUUUUAAUUAACUUGGUAACGCAGCUAACGCGUGAAGUAGACCGCCUGGGGAGUACGGUCGCAAGAUUAAAACUCAAAGGAAUUGACGGGGACCCGCACAAGCGGUGGAUGAUGUGGAUUAAUUCGAUGCAACGCGAAAAACCUUACCUACCCUUGACAUGUCAGGAACCUCCGAGAGAUCGGGGGGUGCCCGAAAGGGAGCCUGAACACAGGUGCUGCAUGGCUGUCGUCAGCUCGUGUCGUGAGAUGUUGGGUUAAGUCCCGCAACGAGCGCAACCCUUGUCAUUAGUUGCUACAUUCAGUUGAGCACUCUAAUGAGACUGCCGGUGACAAACCGGAGGAAGGUGGGGAUGACGUCAAGUCCUCAUGGCCCUUAUGGGUAGGGCUUCACACGUCAUACAAUGGUACAUACAGAGGGCCGCCAACCCGCGAGGGGGAGCUAAUCCCAGAAAGUGUAUCGUAGUCCGGAUCGCAGUCUGCAACUCGACUGCGUGAAGUUGGAAUCGCUAGUAAUCGCGGAUCAGCAUGUCGCGGUGAAUACGUUCCCGGGUCUUGUACACACCGCCCGUCACACCAUGGGAGCGGGUUUUACCAGAAGUAGGUAGCUUAACCCGCAAGGAGGGCGCUUACCACGGUAGGAUUCGUGACUGGGGUG